AUUAUUUUGGCAGAUUAGUGCAAUGAAUUUAGAAUUCAUAUAUGUAGUUUAUUACAAAUAAUA
This 63-nucleotide transfer RNA is filed under the name Harpalus griseus. RNAcentral's name for it is "tRNA-Leu". Lineage: Eukaryota; Metazoa; Arthropoda; Insecta; Coleoptera; Carabidae. The record is from RNAcentral.